CGAACAAUCGCGUAUAAGUUUUUCUUAUAUGAGGAAAGUCCGGACACCUUAGGGCAGAACGACGGAUAACGUCCGCCGAGGGCAACCUUAGGACUAGUGCCACAGAAAAGUAAACAACCUUAUUUAUUAGGUUCAGGUGCAACGGUAGUGUAAAAGACUACCAGAGGUAUUGAAAAAUACCUGCUCGGUAAACUCCGUUCGGGUGCAAGAUUGAAUUAAAGGUUAAGGUGACCCGCCGUCUUUAGAAAAAUCGCUUGAGCUAUAGGGCAACCUAUUUCCCAGACAGAUGAUUGUUUAGAAACAGAAUCCGGCUUAUGAACUGCU
This 324-nucleotide RNase P RNA is filed under the name chicken gut metagenome. RNAcentral describes it as "Bacterial RNase P class A". It matches the Rfam family "Bacterial RNase P class A". From Rfam's summary of the family: Ribonuclease P (RNase P) is a ubiquitous endoribonuclease, found in archaea, bacteria and eukarya as well as chloroplasts and mitochondria. Its best characterised activity is the generation of mature 5'-ends of tRNAs by cleaving the 5'-leader elements of precursor-tRNAs. Cellular RNase Ps are ribonucleoproteins. The record is from RNAcentral.